RNAcentral lists this long non-coding RNA (707 nucleotides) under Strigops habroptila (Kakapo). Its description in RNAcentral is "lncRNA (ENSSHBG00005007210.1)". Lineage: Eukaryota; Metazoa; Chordata; Aves; Psittaciformes; Psittacidae. The record is from RNAcentral.
GUGACACGAUCGGGAGAGGGGCUGGAGCAGCGAUAAAUCAGCCGCGGCUCGGCCAGCGCCGGACGGACACUGCGGCAAAAAGGAGGGGGGGGGGUGGGGUGGGGGGCGCAAAAAGAAAAGGGGGGAAAAAUGAAAGGAAAAAAAUAAGGGGGGGAAAUUCGGAGCUGCGCAGCGAGCGGCGGGGGUUGCGCGGGCGCGGAGCAGCUGGAGCGGCGGCGGUGCCGACCUGCGCGGGCUGCGCUUCUCCUCGUUUGGGUUUCUUAUUUUUCAUUCUUUUCUUGGCUUUUUUUCUUUUCUUUUCUUUUUUUUUUUUAUCCUUUUUCUUUUCCUGUACCUUAGCUGAAAAUGGCUACCAGGGGCUUGGCGAUCGCUUGAGGAGGCAGAGAUGGCAGGCAGCGCCGGAGUGGGGGCGCGGAGACCGCAGCCGCUACGCCCCAUCACCGCCGCCCAGGGCGGGCAGCCUCUGCCUGGGAUCGCGGCGGCACAACCGGGCAAACCCGGGCACAAGCCGCCGGGCUGCGAACACCCUCGGCGGGUAAAGCCGGUGCCGCGGGGCUGGCGGAAUGCUGCCGGGGACCCUGCGCGCCCGCGUAGGGAUUAAUUCACCUUUUUUUAUUGUUAUAUUAUUGGGUUUUUAUUUUAUUGCCGUGCACAGACCUACAGCUGUACGUGCAAAUAAAAGCGAGAGCUCACGGAUACCGGCUUUG